CUCAGGUCUGACUAGGGAUGGGGCUUCAACAAAAAUCUCCCCCUCCUCAUCUAGGAAGGAGAGGUCCAGCUUGGGAAAGUUCUCUUGGAUUUGCAAUUAGCAUUCCCAUAGGCUGGCGAUGUAAGACUCCAUGGCAUGAUUAGCCUUCUCCUUAGUGAAGUCUUUGGAAGCUCAGAAUGCCUCCACUGCUCGACAAGCCA
This 200-nucleotide long non-coding RNA is filed under the name Elaeis guineensis (African oil palm). RNAcentral describes it as "long non-coding RNA (EGUI_LNC046888)". The record is from RNAcentral. Lineage: Eukaryota; Viridiplantae; Streptophyta; Magnoliopsida; Arecales; Arecaceae.